UACAGAGACUGCAAGCGUUAUUCGGAUUCACUGGGCGUAAAGGGUGCGCAGGCGGCCGUGUGUGUUAGGUGUGAAAGCCCGAGGCUUAACCUCGGAAUUGCGCCUAAAACUACACGGCUAGAGCAUUGGAGAGGGUAGCGGAAUUCAUGGUGUAGCAGUGAAAUGCGUAGAUAUCAUGAGGAACACCAGAGGCGAAGGCGGCUACCUGGACAAUUGCUGACGCUCAGGCACGAAAGCGUGGGGAGCAAAAGGG
This 253-nucleotide ribosomal RNA is filed under the name uncultured prokaryote. RNAcentral describes it as "partial 16S ribosomal RNA". It matches the Rfam family "Bacterial small subunit ribosomal RNA", at positions 524 to 776 of the family's 1533-position model. The record is from RNAcentral.